CCAAUAGCGUAUAUUAAAGUUGUUGCAGUUAAAAAGCUCGUAGUUGAAUUUCGGGAUUGACGUGAUGGUCAUGCCUUAAGGGGUAUGAACUGUCGCUGUUGAUUUCUCACCUUCUGGAGAAACUUGAUGUCCUUUAUUGGGUGUCUUGCGGAUCCAGGACCUUUACCUUGAAAAAAUUAGAGUGUUUAAAGCAGGCAUUUUUGCUCGAAUACAUUAGCAUGGAAUAAUAGAAUAGGAAGGCAUGGUUCUAUUUUGUUGGUUUCUAGGAUCACCGUAAUGAUUAAUAGGGAUAGUUGGGGGCAUUAGUAUUCAAUUGUCAGAGGUGAAAUUCUUGGAUUUAUUGAAGACUAACUACUGCGAAAGCAUUUGCCAAGGAUGUUUUCAUUAAUCAAGAACGAAAGUUAGGGGAUCGAAGACGAUCAGAUACCGUCGUAGUCUUAACCAUAAACUAUGCCGACUAGGAAUCAGACGAUGUUAAUUUUUUAAUGACUCGUUUGGCACCUUACG
This 507-nucleotide unclassified non-coding RNA is filed under the name uncultured Entrophospora. RNAcentral's name for it is "SSU rRNA". It matches the Rfam family "Eukaryotic small subunit ribosomal RNA", at positions 591 to 1092 of the family's 1831-position model. The record is from RNAcentral. Lineage: Eukaryota; Fungi; Glomeromycota; Glomeromycetes; Entrophosporales; Entrophosporaceae.